Rosa rugosa (rugosa rose) is the source of this 742-nucleotide long non-coding RNA. RefSeq lists it as uncharacterized. NCBI's taxonomy places the organism in Eukaryota, Viridiplantae, Streptophyta, Magnoliopsida, Rosales, Rosaceae. The record is from RefSeq and is a predicted model, not a curated record. The transcript has 3 exons.
CCCAUUGAUGCUUUUGUCUACUUGAAGUGUAUUUGGUAAUUGAUGCUAUUUUGUUCGGUAAGAUUCAUCAAAUUUUGCAAUCUGAAUUACUGGGUGAUUGAAUUGACUUGUGACCUUUCGUUUUCGAAAAAAAUUGUCGCUGCAACUAAGGUUUUAGAAUACUCUGAUUAUCUUAAUGGUAUUUGAAAGGGGGUGUUAGAUUUUCUAUGCAGUUAAAUCUUUAAGUUUUUGUUUUUAUUGACAUUGUCUUUGAUAAUUUAUGGGUUUUAUUUGUAUAUUAUAUGAGUUCUUUUUGAAUUACAUGUAGCUGAAAAAGGCAUGAACUCUAGACAGGGCGAAGCUGGCCUCCAUGGGUGGUGAUGACCAAGGGAGAUUGAAGCAUUUAGAGAAUGCUGAGAGUCUGUUGAUACUCAAUUAAAUAAAUAAGGUGACACCACCUCAUUGUCAUCUGAGCUUCACAAACAUUGUGAGUGGAGACCUUAGACUAGACUCAUAAGCCCAAAAGCAAUGUACAGAUUAAAUUUGGAGAUUUUACUACUACAAGAGGUGUCAAUAAAAAGAGAACAUCAUUACCAGAUAGUCUCUGUAAGACACCAUUGGCCUGCCCAGGGAAAUAGAAAAAGAGAAAUACGAAUGGGAUCAAGAAGACAAGAAGCACUUGGAUAUCUUCCACUGGAUUGACAUCUACGUGUAGAAGACUUUUCUGAAUAGCUUGAAGGCAGUUGGUUUCAAUAUUAGUAGG